GAUGAACGCUGGCGGCGUGCCUAAUACAUGCAAGUCGAGCGAACAGACGAGGAGCUUGCUCCUCUGACGUUAGCGGCGGACGGGUGAGUAACACGUGGAUAACCUACCUAUAAGACUGGGAUAACUUCGGGAAACCGGAGCUAAUACCGGAUAAUAUCUUGAACCGCAUGGUUGAAUAGUGAAAGACGGUUUUGCUGUCACUUAUAGAUGGAUCCGCGCCGCAUUAGCUAGUUGGUAAGGUAACGGCUUACCAAGGCAACGAUGCGUAGCCGACCUGAGAGGGUGAUCGGCCACACUGGAACUGAGACACGGUCCAGACUCCUACGGGAGGCAGCAGUAGGGAAUCUUCCGCAAAGGGCGAAAGCCUGACGGAGCAACGCCGCGUGAGUGAUGAAGGUCUUCGGAUCGUAAAACUCUGUUAUUAGGGAAGAACAAAUGUGUAAGUAACUAUGCACGUCUUGACGGUACCUAAUCAGAAAGCCACGGCUAACUACGUG
This 497-nucleotide ribosomal RNA is filed under the name uncultured bacterium. RNAcentral describes it as "partial 16S ribosomal RNA". It matches the Rfam family "Bacterial small subunit ribosomal RNA", at positions 28 to 507 of the family's 1533-position model. The record is from RNAcentral.